Pteronotus mesoamericanus is the source of this 142-nucleotide small nucleolar RNA. RefSeq annotates it as small nucleolar RNA SNORA48. NCBI's taxonomy places the organism in Eukaryota, Metazoa, Chordata, Mammalia, Chiroptera, Mormoopidae. The transcript has a single exon. The record is from RefSeq and is a predicted model, not a curated record.
AACCCCUAACAAUGGGCAAGGAGAUACCUGAUUGGUGGUGCUGCUUUAUAUCACAGGGGCAAAGCAGAUGCGCAGUCCUUAGUUCAUCCUAGUUUGAAGCCUGUGUUGGCAGCCAGAGCUGUUGCAUGCCUGGGGCAUAACG